AACUCUCGGAAAUGGAUAUCUCGGCUCUCGCAUCGAUGAAGAACGUAGUGAAAUGCGAUACCUAGUAUGAAUUGCAGAAUCCCAUGAACCAUCGAGUCGUUGAAUGCAAGUUGCGCCCGAAGCCAUUAGGCCGAGGGUACGUCUGCCUGGGCGUCA
Capsicum annuum is the source of this 156-nucleotide non-coding RNA. NCBI's taxonomy places the organism in Eukaryota, Viridiplantae, Streptophyta, Magnoliopsida, Solanales, Solanaceae. The record is from Rfam.